AGCGAACGCUGGCGGCAGGCCUAACACAUGCAAGUCGAGCGCGAAAAUUCCUUCGGGGAUGAGUAGAGCGGCGGACGGGUGAGUAACGCGUAGGAAUCUGCCCGGUAGUGGGGGACAACAGUCGGAAACGACUGCUAAUACCGCAUACGCCCUAAGGGGGAAAGGCAGGGGAGUCUUCGGACCUUGCGCUAUCGGAUGAGCCUGCGUCGGAUUAGCUUGUUGGUGGGGUAAGUGGCCUACCAAGGCGACGAUCCGUAGCUGGUCUGAGAGGAUGAUCAGCCACACUGGGACUGAGACACGGCCCAGACUCCUACGGGAGGCAGCAGUGGGGAAGUAUUGGACAAUAGGGGGAACCCGGUACGAUACCACGCAAUAGCCGCCGUGUGU
This 387-nucleotide ribosomal RNA is filed under the name uncultured bacterium. Its description in RNAcentral is "bacterial SSU rRNA". It matches the Rfam family "Bacterial small subunit ribosomal RNA", at positions 29 to 406 of the family's 1533-position model. The record is from RNAcentral.